UGGGGAAUCUUCCGCAAUGGGCGAAAGCCUGACCCAGCAACGCCGCGUGAGGGAAGAAGGGUUUCGGCUCGUAAACCUCUGUCCUAUGGGACGAAGGAAGUGACGGUACCAUAGGAGGAAGCCCCGGCUAACUACGUGCCAGCAGCCGCGGUAAUACGUAGGGGGCGAGCGUUGUCCGGAAUGAUUGGGCGUAAAGGGCGCGUAGGCGGCCUGCUAAGUCUGGAGUGAAAGUCCUGCUUUCAAGGUGGGAAUUGCUUUGGAUACUGGUAGGCUGGAGUGCAGGAGAGGAAAGCGGAAUUACCGGUGUAGCGGUGAAAUGCGUAGAGAUCGGUAGGAACACCAGUGGCGAAGGCGGCUUUCUGGACUGUAACUGACGCUGAGGCGCGAAAGCGUGGGGAGCAAACAGGAUUAGAUACCCUGGUAGU
This 425-nucleotide ribosomal RNA is filed under the name uncultured bacterium. Its description in RNAcentral is "bacterial SSU rRNA". It matches the Rfam family "Bacterial small subunit ribosomal RNA", at positions 355 to 794 of the family's 1533-position model. The record is from RNAcentral.